RNAcentral lists this ribosomal RNA (2041 nucleotides) under Chloroflexota bacterium. Its description in RNAcentral is "Chloroflexi bacterium partial 23S ribosomal RNA". It matches the Rfam family "Bacterial large subunit ribosomal RNA", at positions 1 to 1976 of the family's 2925-position model. Lineage: Bacteria; Bacillati; Chloroflexota. The record is from RNAcentral.
GGUCAAGCGACUACGGCGCGCGGUGGAUGCCUUGGCACUUCGAGCCGAUGAAGGGCGUAGUUCGGCUGCGAUAAGCCACGGGGAGCCGCCAAACAGGCUGAUCCGUGGAUUCCCGAAUGAGGCAACUCGGCGGCGGUGAUACGCCGUCACCCCGGGCUGAACACAUAGGCCCGGUGGAGGGCACCGGGGGAACUGAAACAUCUCAGUACCCCGAGGAAAAGACAAUAUUCCCCUAGUAGUGGCGAGCGAACGGGGAUCAGUCCAAACCUGCAGACUUGAGUGGCGCUUGGGCCUAUAGGCUGCAGGGGUUGUAGGACGCGCCAUGCCGGCUCCAAUCGGCCGGCCGGCAGUUACCAAUCUCCCGGGUAGAGGAAGGUUCCUGGAAGGGACCGCCGCAGAGGGUGAGAGCCCCGUACUCGAAACCCGCGGAGACUGCCGGGCGUGCUCCUGAGUACCACGCAACACGGGAAAGUGCGUGGGAAGCUGGGGGGCCCACCUCCCAAGGCUAAAUACUCGAAGUGACCGAUAGCGAACUAGUACCGUGAGGGAAAGGUGAAAAGUACCCCGGGAGGGGAGUGAAAGAGUCCCUGAAACCGCGUGCUUUCAAGCAGUGGGAGGCCGUCCUCGGAUGGCUGACCGCGUGCCUAUUGAAGAAUGAGCCGGCGAGUUACCUUUCGUGGCAAGGUUAAGCCAGUCACUGGCGGAGCCGGAGCGAAAGCGAGUCUGAACAGGGCGAUCAGAGUCGCGGGAGGUAGACCCGAAACCAGGUGAGCUACCCAUGGCCAGGGUGAAGCGGACGUAAAAGUUCGUGAAGGCCCGAACCUUCUUCUGUUGCAAAAGGAUUGGAUGAGCUGUGGGUAGAGGUGAAAUGCCAAGCGAACUUGGAGAUAGCUGGUUCUCCCCGAAAUGCCUUUAGGGGCAGCGUUCGGCCGAUACGACCAUGGAGGUAGGGCUCUGAAUGGGCUCGGGGGCGAGCAGCCUACCAACCCCAAUCAAACCGCGAAUGCCAUGGCCGCGGUCGAGCAGUGAGUCUGUGGGGGCUAAGCUUCACAGUCGAAAGGGAAACAGCCCAGACCACCGGCUAAGGUCCCGAAAUCACGUCUUAGUGGAAAAGGAAGUUGAUCCGCGGAGACAACCAGGAGGUUGGCUUAGAAGCAGCCAUCCUUGAAAGAGUGCGUAACAGCUCACUGGUCAAGCAGUUCAGCGCCGACAAUUCAACGGGGCUCAAGACGUGUACCGAAGCCGUGGACUUCGGGGUAACCCGGAGUGGUAGGGGAGCAUUCUGUUCGGCAGCGAAGGCGGACCCGUGAGGGCUGCUGGAGCGAACAGAAGUGAGAAUGCCGGUAUGAGUAGCGAAAGGCGUGUGCGAACCACGCCCACCGAAUGCCUGAGGUUUCCUACGGAAGGCCAAUCCGCGUAGGGUUAGUCGGGCCUAAGCCGAGGACGACAGUCGUAGGCGAUGGACAGCCGGUUCAUAUUCCGGCACCACCGCACGCGCGUUUGAGCGUCAGGGGGGACCCGGGUGGGUAGCGAGAGCGUGCUAAUGGAUAUGGUGCGUCUCCCAGUCAGAGGCGCGGCCGGGGUUCAAAGACCGGCCGGUAAAGCGGAGGACUGGGGGGAAGCGGCGACGUCAGUCAAUGCAACUCGCGUGAUCCCGUUCCGGCCAGAAAAGCCUCGGAUGCGAGCACGUGCAGUGCCCGUACCGCAAACCGACACAGGUAGGUGGGGGUAAGUACCUUCAGGUGGACGAGUGAUUCCCCGUUAAGGAACUCGGCAAAAUCGCUCCGUAACUUCGGGAGAAGGAGCGCCCCGGGCCGUAGCGCGUCCGCGCGACGCGUGGCGGCCGGGGGCCGCAGAGAGCAGGCCCAGGCGACUGUUUAACAAAAACACAGGUCUCUGCGAACGGGAAACCGGACGUAUAGGGGCUGACGCCUGCCCAGUGCUGGAAGGUUAAGGGGCGGAGUGCAAGCUCCCAACCGAAGCCCCAGUGAACGGCGGCCGUAACUAUAACGGUCCUAAGGUAGCGAAAUUCCUUGUCGGG